This 433-nucleotide ribosomal RNA is filed under the name uncultured bacterium. RNAcentral's name for it is "partial 16S ribosomal RNA". It matches the Rfam family "Bacterial small subunit ribosomal RNA", at positions 29 to 507 of the family's 1533-position model. The record is from RNAcentral.
AACGAACGCUGGCGGCAUGCCUAACACAUGCAAGUCGAACGAGACCUUCGGGUCUAGUGGCGCACGGGUGCGUAACGCGUGGGAACCUGCCCUUAGGUUCGGAAUAACUCCCCGAAAGGGGUGCUAAUACCGGAUAAUGUCUUCGGACCAAAGAUUUAUCGCCUUUGGAUGGGCCCGCGUUGGAUUAGCUAGUUGGUAGGGUAAAAGCCUACCAAGGCGACGAUCCAUAGCUGGUCUGAGAGGAUGAUCAGCCACACUGGGACUGAGACACGGCCCAGACUCCUCCGGGAGGCAGCAGUGGGGGAUAUUGGACCAUGGGCGAAAGCCUGAUCCAGCAAUGCCGCGUGAGUGAUGAAGGCCUUAGGGUUGUAAAGCUCUUUUACCCGGGAUGAUAAUGACAGUACCGGGAGAAUAAGCUCCGGCUAACUCCGUG